This is a long non-coding RNA of Rosa rugosa (rugosa rose), 630 nucleotides long. RefSeq lists it as uncharacterized. The transcript has 3 exons. NCBI's taxonomy places the organism in Eukaryota, Viridiplantae, Streptophyta, Magnoliopsida, Rosales, Rosaceae. The record is from RefSeq and is a predicted model, not a curated record.
CCCUCUCAUAUCAGAGGUUUAAACCCCGCUCUCCCUUAUCUGAUCUCUCUCUCUCUCUCGUCCGAUAAGGGACGAGAACCAUCAAUUUCUUCUUCUCCCAAAAGCCUUGAGAGCCGGGCCUUCCUUUGUCUCAUUUCUCCUCCCAAGCACCGCCGCGAUGACGUCGACCAAGACGGAAGACGCCGUACGACGUCUCACCGCCAUCACCGAUUACCGCAAGAGCUCGAAUCACGAGUCCGCCGAGAUCAGAUUCGUACUCCUAAUCCUCCUUAUUCAUGUUGGAUUCUGCAUCCGCAACCGGAGAGCGUUUCUCUCGUCGUCGGUGAACCAGCUCACAAGCAAUUCGCCGUCGGUGCUUUGAUUUAGAGCUUCAUCUGCACCUGAAGAACUGAGAUCUUAUCAUCAAUGAUUCAGCUCUGAAGCACCAUACAAAUUCAAAGUGAACAAAUUUCCUAAAUCCUGACAACAUCAAAGGCUUAUCAGCUGUCUCAAUGUUGCUUGCAAUGAUAGGUUGUUAGCAGCGACAGCUGGUUUGUUUUUAUGGAUAGGUUGUUUUUUUUGUCCCAGUACCGUACUACUAUCCAUUUUUAUGCUCCACUCCCCCCAGUAUUCAUGGACAGUGUGCCAUUA